This is a non-coding RNA of Benincasa hispida (wax gourd), 390 nucleotides long. Lineage: Eukaryota; Viridiplantae; Streptophyta; Magnoliopsida; Cucurbitales; Cucurbitaceae. The record is from RefSeq and is a predicted model, not a curated record.
UUCAUCGUGAAAGUUUCCAAUUUAUUUCAUAAAUUCAUAGAAAAUUGAGUCAAGAAGACGACCUAGGGCUGCCGGAGUGAAUCUCAAUCGGAAAUAUGGUGAAAAAUGGAAAAGACUUGAAGUUGGUCUGAAUUUGGGCAGUUUCGAGCCAUGUUCAAUUAGGAGAGGCUUAUAAAUCCGAAGGAUCGAUCCGGAAAUUUGGUCAUCUUCCCAGAGGUUAGCUGCCUUGUUGUUCUGCCACUCAAGGACUCGAGUUAACAGUUCAAAGUCUAAAUAGAAGUUUUAGGAGUUUAUUUUGUAAAUGUCUGUACAUAUGUGUUGCUUAUAUUAGGGAUAUUGAUGUAUAUUGCAUCCACUGGACUCUGUACCUAUUAAUAUGAUGCAGUUAUG